Molecule: ribosomal RNA, 969 nt
Filed under: Pseudomonas frederiksbergensis
Lineage: Bacteria; Pseudomonadati; Pseudomonadota; Gammaproteobacteria; Pseudomonadales; Pseudomonadaceae
Description: bacterial SSU rRNA
Rfam family: Bacterial small subunit ribosomal RNA
Source: RNAcentral
AGUCGAGCGGCAGCACGGGUACUUGUACCUGGUGGCGAGCGGCGGACGGGUGAGUAAUGCCUAGGAAUCUGCCUGGUAGUGGGGGAUAACGCUCGGAAACGGACGCUAAUACCGCAUACGUCCUACGGGAGAAAGCAGGGGACCUUCGGGCCUUGCGCUAUCAGAUGAGCCUAGGUCGGAUUAGCUAGUUGGUGAGGUAAUGGCUCACCAAGGCGACGAUCCGUAACUGGUCUGAGAGGAUGAUCAGUCACACUGGAACUGAGACACGGUCCAGACUCCUACGGGAGGCAGCAGUGGGGAAUAUUGGACAAUGGGCGAAAGCCUGAUCCAGCCAUGCCGCGUGUGUGAAGAAGGUCUUCGGAUUGUAAAGCACUUUAAGUUGGGAGGAAGGGCAUUAACCUAAUACGUUAGUGUUUUGACGUUACCGACAGAAUAAGCACCGGCUAACUCUGUGCCAGCAGCCGCGGUAAUACAGAGGGUGCAAGCGUUAAUCGGAAUUACUGGGCGUAAAGCGCGCGUAGGUGGUUCGUUAAGUUGGAUGUGAAAUCCCCGGGCUCAACCUGGGAACUGCAUUCAAAACUGUCGAGCUAGAGUAUGGUAGAGGGUGGGUGGAAUUUCCUGUGUAGCGGUGAAAUGCGUAGAUAUAGGAAGGAACACCAGUGGCGAAGGCGACCACCUGGACUGAUACUGACACUGAGGUGCGAAAGCGUGGGGAGCAAACAGGAGUAGAUACCCUGGUAGUCCACGCCGUAAACGAUGUCAACUAGCCGUUGGGAGCCUUGAGCUCUUAGUGGCGCAGCUAACGCAUUAAGUUGACCGCCUGGGGAGUACGGCCGCAAGGUUAAAACUCAAAUGAAUUGACGGGGGCCCGCACAAGCGGUGGAGCAUGUGGUUUAAUUCGAAGCAACGCGAAGAACCUUACCAGGCCUUGACAUCCAAUGAACUUUCCAGAGAUGGAUUGGUGCCUUC